CAGGGAAUAUUAGUUAAUGUGCGAAAGCGCGAACUAGCAACGCCGCGUGUGCGAUGAAGGCCUUCGGGUUGUAAAGCACUUUUCCAAGGGACGAGGAAGGACGGUACCUUGGGAAUAAGCAUCGGCUAACUACGUGCCAGCAGCCGCGGUAAAACGUAGGAUGCAAGCGUUAUCCGGAUUUACUGGGCGUAAAGCGCGUGUAGGCGGUUCGGUAAGUUGGAUGUGAAAGCUCCCGGCUUAACUGGGAGAGGUCGUUCAAUACUGCCGAGCUAGAGGAUGGUAGAGGAAGGUGGAAUUCCGAGUGUAGUGGUGAAAUGCGUAGAUAUUCGGAGGAACACCAGUGGCGAAAGCGGCCUUCUGGACCAUUUCUGACGCUCAUACGCGAAAGCUAGGGUAGCAAACGG
Molecule: ribosomal RNA, 404 nt
Filed under: uncultured bacterium
Lineage: Bacteria
Description: bacterial SSU rRNA
Rfam family: Bacterial small subunit ribosomal RNA
Source: RNAcentral